GAUGAACGCUGGCGGCGUGCUUAACACAUGCAAGUCGAACGGUGAUCUCCCACUUUCGUGGGUGAUUAGUGUCGCACGCGUGAGUGUUACAUGAGUAACCUGCCCUUUACACUGUGGUAAACCUGGGAGAAACGGUCUCUAACACCGGACUGCUUCAUCCCUCAGUGUGGGGGGUGGAAAGGUUUUUGCUGGUGUUGGAUGUGCUCACGGCCUAUCAGCUUGUUGGUGGAGUAAUGGCCUACCAAGGCGACGACGGGUAGCCGGCCUGAGAGGGUGGGCGGCCACAUUGGGACUGAGAUACGGCCCAGACUCCUACGGGAGGCAGCAGUGGGGAAUAUUGCACAAUGGGCGGAAGCCUGAUGCAGCGACGCCGCGUGGGGGAUGACGGCCUUCGGGUUGUAAACUCCUUUCGGCAAGGACGAAGCGUUUUGUGACGGUACUUGGAGAAGAAGCGCCGGCUAACUACGUG
This 469-nucleotide ribosomal RNA is filed under the name uncultured bacterium. RNAcentral's name for it is "partial 16S ribosomal RNA". It matches the Rfam family "Bacterial small subunit ribosomal RNA", at positions 28 to 507 of the family's 1533-position model. The record is from RNAcentral.